CACUUUGUAAGUUAACGCCUCUAUCUUUUGGGCGUAGUAGAAGUAUAAAAAUGAUGUUUUGAAUGUUGAUCCUUAGACAUUGUGCGGCGACACGUGUCUCCAGAAGCUUCUGUAAUAAAUGGACAUAUAACUACGGUAAUUGCCCUGACUCCCUGUGUUUUAUUCUCCUUUCCAACAAACCAACUCGGGGAAGUGUUAUACUUCAACAAUUUGGGGGCUCGUUCCGGGAUUGGAAAGAGGAGAAGGAAUUCGAUCUUGUCCAGACAACCUACGCGAGAUUCACAGGUUCCGAGCCGGCUCAUGAUAAAGAUGGACUAACUGUCACGUUACCAGACGGGACAUCGACUUCAAGUGGAGGCCGUGGGUCUCCCUCCUCGAGCCGUACUUUCCUCUGCCAGACCCCCCACAUGUAACCCUAUUUUAUGAUCGGCAGGGCGAUGAGGUGUAUAGAGAGGGGUUUGGGGAUGUAGUGUGUGGGGACACGUGGCAGGUCGGGUCUAAAUUCAUACAUGUAGGCCCUGCAUCCUAAACACCAAGCAAAAGACCUGGGGCCCAUGGUUAAAAGGGCGGUCAAAUGUACUGAUUGGACACUCACUCAGGCGCCAAACGUAUGGUACUCACACAGCUGUAAGACGUAAAAAUGGUACACCUGCAUUGACCUGGCUAACGCUUUUUUCUGUCUCCCACCAGCAGAGGAACUUCGUGAUAUUUUUUCUUUCACACAUAGGGGCGACAAUGGCGGCCCCAACGGUGGCCGCCUGCAUCCAAGCUACAAUGAUGGUCCUCACCAGACUGGCUGAGAAAGGGUUCAAGGUGUCAAAAGAAAAGCUACAGCUGGUAAGGACGCAGGUCUCCUUUCUGGGCAGAGUAAUCUCGCAGAAGGGAGCGGGGCUUUCCCCAGCUCACCGCACAACCAGCCUCCACCAUCCUAAACCCACUACUGUUCAGGAAAUGCUAUCAUUCCUAGGGCUCACGGGGUACAGCCGCAAUUACAUCCCAAACUAUUCAGGGCUCACAGAGCCACUUAGAGCGCUAGUUAAGGAGCAGGGAAUGCGUAAACUUAAAGCCACUCUCAAUUGGACUUGCCCGGCCGACAAAGACUUCAUUUUGCUGAAACAACAACUAGCCACCGCAGCUGAUCUGGCCAUACCAGACUACACAACACCUUUUUUCUAGAUUUUUCUGAAACAGGAUGAGUCAUGAACGGGGUCCUGUUUCAGAAAAAGGGGGGAGAAGGCUCUGAGAGAGACGAGCUAGUGAGACAUCAAAAGGGGGCUUCCCUACAAGAGAAAACAAUUUGGCAACAGAGAGGAGCAACAGAGACGAGCGGGCUCUGGAGAGG
This is a long non-coding RNA of Esox lucius (northern pike), 1342 nucleotides long. NCBI's taxonomy places the organism in Eukaryota, Metazoa, Chordata, Actinopteri, Esociformes, Esocidae. The record is from Ensembl.